Molecule: ribosomal RNA, 548 nt
Filed under: embryophyte environmental sample
Lineage: Eukaryota; Viridiplantae; Streptophyta
Description: eukaryotic LSU rRNA
Rfam family: 5.8S ribosomal RNA (bases 141-296)
Source: RNAcentral
AAGAAGUCGUAACAAGGUUUCCGUAGGUGAACCUGCGGAAGCUCACCAACCAACCCCGGCGCAGUACGCGCCAAGGAAUAGAAAAUGAAAAGGGCGUGCUUUUCUUUCGGAAGGCAUUGCCUUCUUUCAAGAAUCAAAACGACUCUCGACAACGGAUAUCUCGGCUCUCGCAUCGAUGAAGAACGCAGCAAAAUGUGAUACUUGGUGUGAAUUGCAGAAUCCCGUGAAUCUUCGAGUUUUUGAACGCAAGUGGCGCCCGAAGCCUUUCGGCCAAGGGCACGCCUGCCUGGGUGUCACGCAUACGUCGCCCCAUCCUCUGGACACCUCGGGAGUCAUGGGAGCAGAAGUUGGCCUCCUGUGUGCCUGGCGCAUGUGGUUGGCCCAAAAUGCAUGUUCGCGGCAAAUGAUAGCCAUGACGAUCGGUGGUUGUAAAGACCCUCUGAAAAAGUCGUGCGCUGUUCUUAGACGUCGGGACAUUCCUUGACCCUAGGGCGUCCUCAGGGCGCGCUCCGACCGCGACCCCAGGUCAGGCGGGACUACCCGCUGAG